Molecule: microRNA precursor, 87 nt
Filed under: Mus musculus (house mouse)
Lineage: Eukaryota; Metazoa; Chordata; Mammalia; Rodentia; Muridae
Description: mir-3473 microRNA precursor family
Rfam family: mir-3473 microRNA precursor family
Source: Rfam by way of RNAcentral
ACCGCUGAGCCAUCUCUCCAGCCCCGCAAGACCUUAUCUUAAAGAAAAAAAUAAACCCCCACGGGGCUGGAGAGAUGGCUCAGUGGU